Molecule: ribosomal RNA, 253 nt
Filed under: uncultured prokaryote
Description: partial 16S ribosomal RNA
Rfam family: Bacterial small subunit ribosomal RNA
Source: RNAcentral
ACGGAGGGUGCAAGCGUUAAUCGGAAUUACUGGGCGUAAAGCGUGCGCAGGCGGUUUGUUAAGUCUGUUGUGAAAUCCCCGAGCUCAACUUGGGAAUUGCAAUGGAUACUGGCAGGCUGGAGUACGGUAGAGGAAGGUGGAAUUCCCGGUGUAGCAGUGAAAUGCGUAGAGAUCGGGAGGAACACCAGUGGCGAAGGCGGCCUUCUGGACCAGUACUGACGCUCAUGCACGAAAGCGUGGGGAGCAAACAGGA